UAAAAAUAGGUUCGCUAGGAGCUAGUUCCGGUGGAUUUAGUGGCUGACCACCUCAUUAGAACGAAGAUAAGGCAUCAAUAAAUUGUUUAUUGUUGGCAAAGAAUAAUUAGUUUUUCAGUUUUAGUUUUACGGCAUAUGGGCUGUGACGACCUGCUCAAGUUCUUAAUGCUAAAUUAUUACAAUCUCAUUAGAACAACAAUGCUAAAUUACAACCUCAUUAGAACAACAUAGCCAUAAAAUUGUUUCCUCUUGCCCAAGGAUUGUUAGGUUUUAAGGCCUAUGGGCUAUGUCAGCCCAUUUAAGUCUUUAAUGCCCAGUUACUUCUAGACGAGCACGUACAAGCUGGCUAGUCUCAGACCUAGUGAGAAUAAGUCUUUCUCCAAACGUUUUUUUUAAAAUGUAAAUAUUAGGAAUAUAUAUAAUGUAUAAUUAGAAAAAUAUUAUUUCUGCGUCUCGGGAGUGAGCCUAUACUAAGGCCCCAAUUUCCAGGCUUGACCGGAUUGAAGCCUACAAGUAUAAGUAGAAGGCCGAAGCCUGUAGCCUCCCAGCCUUGGCCCAAUAUAGACUUUCGGGCCGAGUAGGACGCCUGAUCUUGGGAAGGGCCAUCAUCAGGUCAUCAAACCUUCAAUAUAAACCCAUGAAGCUCCGAGCCUAUGGAACUCCUCUAUUUAGGAGCUGGGCCGGAUCCAAGCUAGACCAUAAUCUGGUUGUCCAACCUUCAUUCUAAUGUGCGGCCUUGCGAAUAAAUAGAUGACAUUAAUAGAUUGGGCCCAAAAUAAUAAACUUGAUUUCCUCAGAUCCAUAUCCAUAAUUUCAUGUCAGAUCAGGAUACAGAUUGAGAUAUUGGUUGAAAAAUAAUACAAUCUAUUAUUUUGCGGUUCGUAAAGUGUAUUACUUUACAAUAUUCUAGUUGGCUGAAUACAAAAAGAGAACCAUAUGGACCUAUGGUAGUAAAAUAAAUUUUUUUAAACAAUAGGGUGACUAAAUGAAAAUGUGCUGAACCACAAGGAGCAAAUUGAAGUUUUUCCUCUUAAUUAUUUUUGGAAAAUGGUUCUUAAUUGUACACCCCAAUUGGGAUGUACAAGAUAUACCCCACCCUUGGAUGGGUGGGGUGUAUAACCUACACCCCCAAAGAGGUGUACCACCAAUAUUUGCUCAUUAUUUUUUAUGAAUUGUUCUCCAAUACAAUCAUUUAUAAUACAAAGUUCAGCAAUUCAUUAUCGUUUGUUGCCUAUUAGCUGAGCUAAUUAUCAAUUAACCACAACUUAAAAAUGUACUUAUCCACUAUUACGGAGGUGAGCAUUUGCAAAUGCAUAGAGUGAAGUUGUUUAACCCUUACAUAGUAAAGAAGUUGUAGCAGGUGAAUUAUAAGUUUAUAACCCUUAUGUAGUAAAGAAGAUGUAGCAGGUGAAUUAAGACUGGUGGUGAUGCCGAUGCCACGUGCAAAUCUCAUGAUCUUGUGAUCAGCCUUUAUGGAUGAUUUUGUUAUCAAAUUGUACAGUUUUUAACUUGCCGAAUUUUAUUAGACCAACUAUCAAUUUUUUAACCAAAAAAAUUGCAGCUUAUUAUAUGAAGAAUUAUUGAAUAUAAAAUAUUAAAAUAGAUAAAUAAUGUUAUUUUUAUAUAGUAUUAAAAGUACAAGGUCAUGAGAUUGAUUGCUACGAACUUCUAGCUUCUUUCAAUUGAACAUUUUAAGUAGAUCUCUAUAUCGAUCUCAGGAAAUGACAACCCUAAAUUAAAAAAUAGAAGAAGUUGAACGUGUCUGGACUUGCCAAGUUGCCAACAGUUCCAACAAUAGCUGCCACCGAGUGCAAGCACUCUUUUUGUUUCUUUCUUUCACUCUUCUUACUUCACAUAUUUUCGCCUAAAAAAAAUUCAUUCGUUAUUGAUGGUCAUCAUCUGAAUUCCUAGUGUUUUUCUCUCUCUUAUCAUUGGGGUCGUUGUACAUGAUAUCUGCACCUAAACAGUGGUUCGUGGGGUGCUACGGUCUCACCUCCUCUUGCAAAUGAUUGUGGUUGUUGCAUAUAUGUAGCAGUUAAUAGUUGAUGCCAUGCAUGUGCCCCAAUAAUGGUCGGCGCAUCUCAACGGCCAUCCUCAUGGUGGGGUAGUUUAGUGGGCUCUCUCUCUCUCUUCUCUCUCAUUUUAACCGUAUGGACCGUGUCCAUUCCAUCAGUCCUGAUGAGACCACGUGUUGAUCGGCCAUCCUUGUUUUGUUAUUUCAGUUUUUUUUUUCGUUUUUGUUGAAAAUAUCUUAAUUAUAUAUAUAUAUAUAUAUAUAGAGAGAGAGAGAGAGAGAGAGAGAGAGAGAGAGUUGGUUUAGAAUAUUAUUGAUAACAAAAUAUUUUUUUGCUAUCAAAUUUUUAGUUUUUGAAUCAAUUUCUUUCAUCAUUUUUAACUAUUGGAUUAAAUAUUAUAAUCAAGUGAGGAUCACUCAAUCCUAGAGUAGCGUUUGGUUCGGGAACAAGGGGGGAAAUAAGUCAUUGUUCUCCCCCUUUGUUUCCAAAUGUGAUGUUUGGUAUUCUGGAACAGUAGUUCCAGAGUUUUAAGAACAAGUUGAACUUGUUUCUUGACGAGAACAAUGUUAAUUAAAAUCUAAAUUUAAUUUUAAUGAUAGUAAAUUAUUAAUUAAUCUAAUUAAUAUAUUUAAAUUAUUAUUUAUUAUUUUAAUAAAUAAUAAUAAUUUACUAUUCUCAUGAGUCCGGUUAUGGUGCUUGUAAAAGCACUAAAUACUUGGUACUUAUAAAUUUUUUACUGUUAAAUUUACUCCUCUGACCAUUUUCAACCGUUUGAUUAUAUUAUUCAACCAACCACCUACUCAACCCUAAGGGGUCCAGAUCAUUCUAGCCGCAUAUUUCUUAAUUGAAUGGUUAAAAAUCUACGAGUACUAAUAAUUUGGUACUUUUAAAAAUAUAGAAGCUCAAUUCCUAUUUCUCAUAUUAUUAAUAAUAUUUGUGUCUCUAUAUUUAUAUAUGUAUGUACGUGUGUGUGUGUGUAUAUAUAUAUGUAUGGAUGCUUAAGAUAUAAAAUAGAGAUGGGCUCAGGGCAAAUCAAUUUGACGGUCCACAAAUUAGGCGGUGGACAUGUUUUUAUGAGUCCACUCUCUUUUGGAGACCCGUUUGCUAAGCCUUUGUCAGCUGGGAUGGAGAAGCGGUCACCUCCUUCCAUGUGAACCAAGCUACCCGCUUCCAAUAAUGCCAAUCACUCAUUUUUUGUCCUUUAAACAAUCUUCUUUCUACAUAUGAUUGUUAUCGUUUUGUCUUGAUGGAAGUUUAUAGGAAGAGUUCAACCCAUUAGUUCCCUAUCCCUUCAUUUGUUGAUAUAUAUUAAGUUGGCGGAUACCUUGGCAUAAUUAACUAUACCAAACAACCAGCUUUAGGAAUGUCCCUAUGUGAUAGCCUUUAUAAUAAUAGCUUUUGCAGUGAAAUUAAGACAAAGGCUGAUCGUAUUAACAAAUCUCAGUAAAAGAGGCCGUUGAAAACUCCUAAAGAUGCUGAUGAUCAUCAUAUGAUUCAUGAUAUACCCGUACGGAAGAAAUGCUAAUGGAAAAGAUUCCACUGGAGAUCAUUCACGCAGCCACCCCUUUCAGACGGAUCAAACAACGUGGGCGAGACGUGCUUUGCACCCCUAGUUACACGAAGCUGCUUUAUUAAUUGUUUAGAUCUAGCUAAAAGAUAUUAAGUUAAUUAAUUAGUGGUGUUAGAACAGAUGCAUACAUACCAGUGGUCAAAGGGCUAGUAUAAUGAAAUAUUUAUGAAGGUACGUAACACCUUUCGUUUAUGAAUUUAUCAAUGUAUCGAACCCAAAGACCUCCAAUGCCCAUAUGAGGGUUGUCUGCCACCAGGUUCAUGUCAUGUGCGCCACUAUAUAUAUUACCUAUCUCUCUCUCUCUCUCUCUCUCUCUCUCUCUCUCUCUCUCUCUCUUCAAGUGAGUGACUCAACUGCUUCAAGUGCAUGCAGUUGUUGGCAUUGGAAGGAACAUUUUAAUUGAGCUCCACAAUGUAUUCAGCCUCUCAAAGUUAUCUAACAAUUUAAAUGGUCCUGUCGAACAAUCGAUCUUUGAAGCGUGCAUAUAUAUUAUAUAGGGAAAACUUCAAAGCCUCCCCCUGUGGUUUCCAACUUUCUCACUUUAGUACCUUGUGGUUUAAAGUGUAUCAAUUUAUACCCCUGUGGUUUUGUUUUUAUCUUUUCUAUAGCUUUUCUUUUAAUAUUUCGUUGAAUUAUAUACAAAAAAAUAUCAGAUAUCCAUCUAGAUUUACCGAAUAUUUAUUUUAGUACCCUUUAAUUUUAAUUUUAUCACUGAUUUAAGAAAAAAAAAAUAAAAUUGAUAAAAAAAAAGAGAAAAACGAAACCACAGGGGGGGCAAAUUGAUACACUUUAAACCAUAGGGUACUAAAAUAAGAAAAUGCGAAACCACGGGGGGAUUCUGAAGUUAUCCCUAUUAUAUAUCUAUAUAUAUAAAGAGAGAGUUGAGUUGGAAUGCUAUUAGUAGCAAAUAGGUUCUGUUGUCAUUCAUUUGUUUUCGAUGAUGGAGCCUCCAAAUCGAUGAUCGGUAUCAUUAAAUAUGAUUUAUACUACUUGAAUCAUUUAGAAACCAAAGUUCAAGUCUUUUCAAUAUUUUUGACCUAAUGAUCAAAAGGUUUUAAAAUUUAUAAUUUUUUUUUUGAGAAAAAGGUAGCAAGCUACCUGCUUCAUUCAUAAAGCGAGAUGAAUUAAGCGUACAGGAUGGAAGCAACUACGGCCUCCGUAGACGAAAAAGGUGAAAACAGGGUUAGAUGCAAUAAAAAGAAAUAAAAGAUAAAAGAGGAAAGGUAAGUGAAAAGCUGAGGGAGUUGGUCAAUUAAAAUUUAUAAUUUUAAUUUAUAAUUUUAAUUGUCGAUAUGUGGCGGUUUUUCGUUCAACAACGUAAAGAUAUCCAAAUAAAUUGAAUUUAGGUUAUAAAAUUUUUUAAAAUAUCUAGAACAAAGAUCUAUGCUAUUGAUCUUGAUUAUAAGACUCCUAUCAUCAUCUUUUUCAGAAUAUUCAUUUUCAGCUAUUUAUUUUUCUGUCCACUUGAUGGACAAGAGAAUAAUAUCGAGAAAGUAAGAAAUUUGGUUUUUAGAUGCUUCAAGUGGUAUAGAUUAUGUUCAACGGCAUCGAUCGUCGAUUUGGAGACUCCAUCUUUUAAAAUAAAUGGGUGGCAACGAAGCCCGUUUGUUAUCGAUAGCAUUCCAGCUCAACUCUCUUUCUCUAUAUACGUUUUAUAUAUAAUAUAAUAUAAUUGAGUUUCUAUACUAUUAAUAGUAUUUGAUUUUUUUACUAUACAUUUUCUAACUGUUAGAUAAAAAUUUGUAGGGUUCGGAUAAUAACAGUCCCAUAAAGUUUAGUGGUGGGUUUCAUUAGAGUUUAAUGGUAGUUGGUUAAAUAAUGUUGAUCUAAUGAUAGAAACAAUCAAAAGAGUAGAUAUAACGGCUAAAAAUUUAUAGCAAAAUAGUCUAAAUACUAGACUCUAUAUAGAAUUGAGCAUAUGCCUGGUCAUGGAGGGGCCGCCUCCACAGGCGAACACAACAACAACAACUGCAGAGGCCUGAUAAGAAAGAGUGACGUGAUACUAAUUUUAAAUUCAAAAUACCAGAGAGAAAAAACAUUGGACGUUAUGUAUUUUGGAGAUAGAUGUUUGACGGUGUCUAAUUUGCCGUUAGUAUUUGGACGUAAAAUAGCACUAACAAGUAACAAAUUGAGACGACUUUUUCUGCUCAGUCAUUCAAAAGGCACAAUUGGAUUUCCUGCCCUUGACCUGCAUGUUGAUCUGUAGCUAAUUAAACAAAUAUCAGUAAUUAUGUUGCCUUCCGUAUAUCUUACUGUAUAUAGGUCCAUGCUUUUGCCAUGCGUCAGUUGCAUUACUCUUCAUUAGAUUUAGGGUUAAUUUCUUUAGUACCCUCUUAAAAGGCCAUAAUUUCAUAAAUACUUUUUUUAAUUAUGAAAUAUUAUUGGUGUCUUUAUAAGCAUCAAAGGGUUUAGAGUUUAGGCUUUAGGUCUGGGGUUUUGAUGGGUAUUUGAGAUAUAUAUAUAUAUAUAUAGAAGAAUAUGAACGGUAGAUUUAUAUAUAUGUUUAGAGAAAUAUAAGUGAUAUUUUAGAUUCUGAAGAGGUGUUUAUAAUAUUUUAGAACUUUAGAAAAUUAUGUUUGAUAUUGAGAAGCUUAGAUUAAAGACAGUCUAUUUAUGCUAAUGAUGAUGAUAUCAUCUAUCAGCAGAAAAGGACAGUACUUCAGUACAAUUUGUGUUAUGAACGGGAAACCCCACGUGUAUUAGUCAACGCAUACUAAUUAACUAGAUCAUUAGUAACUAUUUCCUGAAUCUAAUAAAUGCCGAGCCUCCAACCACCUAGAAUUGUUCACUGGCCAAUCAAACUAAAAGUCUUGUCAUAUAUAGAACUAAAUUAAUCCAUUAACAAAAUAACUUUACUCUCUAAUUAGUAAUCCGUUUGAAAUUGCCAAAGAAUUCUCUAUCUCUCAUGUAAUCGCCAAUGUUACAUGCUUGCAUAUGUGUGGUCAAUCGUUUUGCUAAUUAAGCAAUUACGACGUAGCACGGGGAUUACAGAGGAGGCUAGCUUCCUCUUCGUUUCUUAUGCAUUCCAGGGGGAAUUAAGCCCUACACAUAGGCACCACUAAUGGGGUUUCUUUAAUUUCUACAGGGAUUCUAUUGGAUGAAAGUGACCCCGCUCUGCGGCUAGAUCUUACAACAAAAUGCAAUUUAUGCUUACAAACAGUUUCAAGCGCUAAGUUAACUUUUUAAAAAAAUUAAAUGAAGUAGAUAGUAUAUUAUUUUUUGAGUGAGGCUACUAUACUUCUGGAAGCACGGAGCCUUCCAUGCUUCCAGAUCGUUUUCGAUGUUGCGACUUUCGAAUCGUCGAUCGGCUCUGUUAAACUUGAUCUAGAGUAUUUGAAGUACCUAGAAAAUAAAUUUUACAAUUUUUCGAUAUCAUUUGCCUAGUGAACUAAGGGGCUCAAAAUCAACGGUUGAAAAUAAAAAUCUUACAAAACGUGAUAAUAUGACAUUAAAAUUUUAGAUCAAAGAUAUUGAUCUUGUUUUAUAUAGUAUAAAGAUUUUUCUAUCAAAAUUUCACAUGAUUUUGAUAUUUCUACACCGUUAAACUUGUAAACGGCUCACCAUGACUAUUAAAAUUAUUGAUUUCGAGUCCCUUCGAUCACUAGGCAAAUGAUAUCGAAAAAUCAUAAAAUUUAUUUUCUAGGUACUUCAAAUACUCUAGAUCAAGUUUAACGGAGCCGAUUGACGAUUCGAAAGUCGCAACAUCAAAAACGAUUUGGAAGCACGGAAGGCUCCGUGUUUCCAGAAGCAUAGUAGCCUCACUCUUAUUUUUUUCUUAUAUAUAUAUAGAGUUUUGCUAGAAUACUAUCAGUAGUAAACGAGCCGUUUUACUAACUAUUUGUUUUCGAUGAUAGAGCUUCCAAAUUGACGAUUGGCUCUGUUGAACAUGAUCUAUACCACUUGAAGUGUUUAGAAAUCAAAUUUCAAAUCUUUUCGACAUCAUUUGCCUAAUGAUCAAAGGGUUUCAAAAUUUGUAAUUUUAAUGGUCGAUAAGAAGCGUUUUCUCGUUUAACGGUGUAAAGAUAUCCAAAUUAAUUGAAUUUUUGUUAGAAAAUUUUUUAAACUAUUUAACACAAGAUUUAUACUCUUGAUCUUGAUUACAAGACUCCUAUCAUUAUUUUUUAAAGAAUAUUCAUUUUCAACCAUUCAUUUUUCUGUUCACUUGAUGGAUAAAAGAACAAUAUCGAAAGUGCGUGAAAUUUGAUUUCUAGGUAGUUUAAAUGGUUUAGAUCAUAUUUAACGGAGCCGAUCGUCAAUUAGAAAGCUCUAUCAUCGAAAAUAAAUCGGUAGUAAAACAGUUCGUUUACUAUCGAUAGUAUUCUAGCUAAACUCUCUCUCUCUCUCUCUCUAUAUAUAUAUAUAUAUAUAUAUAUAUAUAAAAGGCUACUUUGACCGACUUCUUGUGAGUUUCAAGGGCCACCAUGUUUUGUGAAGCGAACCAAAUCUUAAAAGUUGAAGCAGCCCCCUCGUGAUGUACAAAUUAUUAGUAAGGUCGUUACUGUUGCUUAUUUUUCUUAACAGUUUCUGUAUAACGUAAUGAUUAUUAUCCAGAUUAGCUAUUAUAAAUGUUAUAAAAGUGCAAUGAUUUUAUCAUAGUCACCAUAUGGAACAAUUGAGAGUAAUUUGACAAAAAACUAUAAAAAAUAAUAUAUAAAUGCUUUACAUUCAACAAGAUAAUUAAUCUGAUAAUUUAUUCUAGCAAUUUGAAACUAAAACUCUUUCGCAUACAUAGCAGCAAUUCGACCACAAAAACAGCUUAGGAUUAAUAUUUUUUUUUUUGAAAAAAAGAUAGCACGAUAUCCGUUUCAUUCAUAAAAAGGAUGAACUAAGCUACAUGCGUGAAGCAGUUGGGCCUCGGUGGGGGCGAAUCGAAAAAAAAAAAAAACACCCGUUACAUUAUGAGCUAGAGUAAGACUGCACCCAUAGUUUUGUCAAUUGUCUGAUCUUGUAGACUGCUAGGAUGAGGUCUACCUGAGUCUAUCGAAAGAUAACUUCAUUCCUGAUUUUUCAGAUGA
This 8600-nucleotide long non-coding RNA is filed under the name Ananas comosus (pineapple). Its description in RNAcentral is "long non-coding RNA (ACOM_LNC004665)". The record is from RNAcentral. Lineage: Eukaryota; Viridiplantae; Streptophyta; Magnoliopsida; Poales; Bromeliaceae.